Long non-coding RNA from Gallus gallus (chicken), 1835 nucleotides. Lineage: Eukaryota; Metazoa; Chordata; Aves; Galliformes; Phasianidae. The record is from Ensembl.
CCGGACCGGCGCGGCGGGCGGUGCGCGUGGCGCAAGGGCAGGGUCGGUCCGUGCCAACUGCUGCGUGCUGCUGGGUCGGAAAGCCUGGCACAGGUGGAAUAACUGAUGGGGGAGCGCUAAUUAAUGGCAGGAUUGUGUGUGGUGUGCUCGGUGAUGUUUGCAGCGCACCGAUUGCCUUAGCCGUUGUCAGCGCCUUACUGCCCGCGGCAGAGCACGUGCGGCAGGAGGAGCGCGCGGCUGUUGAGCCGACCCCGGGCGGGAAGCGGCUCUGUCUGAAGGUUGCUUGGCUUUGGUGCUCGCGUCCAAACAACGAACGUAACGUCUGCAUUUCCCCGUGUUAUCGCUCACCACAUCGUUCUUCUCUCCCUUCUCUACCUCAUGCAAUGUGCGUGUUGCUGUCAGCUCCGGCGAUUGCUAAUUGCCAUGAAGCAUCCAAUUCAUUUCAAAGAGCAAGAAGCGAAACAUUUCCUCAGAACCUUUUUGUCUAGGAGCCGUUCUGGUUGAUGUUCCGUAGGUGUUGGCUGCUGCCAUUUCUGCCCGUUGUCUGCUGUUCACGGGGCAGGCACGGUUCUGCCCUCCAGUCUCUGGAAAAUACAGAAUACGGGAGACAAGUUUCAUAGCCAGAAAUCUUCUAACUUCAUUCCUGCAAGGCGGUGACUGCUCCAGUGCUCUGACAUCAGCUGCUCAAGUUAGAAGGUGAUAGAUCAGAGAUUCUGGAUGAGAGCAUUCCACUCACUAAUGACAAGGCGUUUAUUAGAACAGUUGCACACCGUGUUUCCUUCCUAGAAGAGAAAGUGCCCGAAGCAAAGAAGAGUCAUGGUGCCUUUUUAAUACCACUUUCCAACUGUUUCGAUAUGCAGUUAUCCCAUCUUUAAAAACGUCUGGGACAUACCUUAACUCUGUAAAGAACAUCAUGAAUAUGCAGUCUGGUUAACAGGCAUGGAAAGGACACGGGGAGUUGGACCAGAUGGCCCUCAGAAGUCCCUUCCGACUCUGACGAUUCUGUGUUGUAUUUUGAAACAGAUGCCAAGAAAUGAUUGUACAGACCUCCUCCAGGAGUGGCACUUUAAGAUCUGCCAAAACUCUAUCAAACCAAAGACUUUUUCCCUAUGAACAAUGUAGGUACCAAGUAUCAAAAUCAUUGAUUUCUGUCUCUUUUAUAAAAGGCUGGGUUUGUUCUUAUGGUUCAUACUUUAUAUAUGUAAGUAGAAGCAACUGUUAUACUUCAGAUCUUUGGUUAGCAUCUGUAAAAGGAAGCUGAAACUUUCCAAUCAUGUUGUGGCCGUAUAGAGGCUGGAACAUUUAUUCUAAGAUUUGAUCACAGUAGUUUACACCAUAAGCUUACAGAACCAGCAAAGCAAAUAUAUAAAGCAUCACAUUUUUAUACUUAAAAUGAUCAGAAGCUUAAAGAAUGUGCUAGUAUUGCAUGCUAAAACUGCCAGCCUCACAAAUCAUCAGGAUACACCACAGAGCAUGAAAUCAGGGUCAGAAUUUAACAAUUCAAUAAACCACAUAUGGCCAAACCUUCUAGCACUCCAAAGCAGGAAUAGGGUUUUAAAAGCUGUUGCGUAACACAAGCUGAGUAAUAUGAAUAAACUUUUUGCAAUGUUGUUAUGGACCUUUGGAUGUGCCAUUUUGUAAGAGUCAUUCUGUUUAACCAGAACUUGAAGUAGAAUAUUCAUCUCCCCACCUGUAGCUUGUUUUUUUUUUUUUUGUCUAGGUGAACAAAAAACAAUUAUCUGAAUAAGGAAAAUUAGAAAGAGGAGGUUAUAUACGUAGGUUAGAAGAUACUUGUCUCCUUUAUGUACAGAAGAUCUCACUAUGGCAACAAAAAG